UACGUAGGUGGCAAGCGAUACUCGGAAUCACUGGGCGUAAAGCGCAGGUAGGAGGUUUAGAAAGUCUCUUGUGAAAGCUCCCGGCUUAACUGGGAGAGGUCAAGGGAAACUACUAGGCUAGAGUGCGGUAGAGGUAGCUGGAAUUCCCGGUGUAGCGGUGAAAUGCGUAGAUAUCGGGAGGAAUACCUAUGGCGAAAGCAGGCUACUGGACAGUAACUGACUCUGAGCUGCGAAAGCUAGGGGAGCAAACAGG
Molecule: ribosomal RNA, 253 nt
Filed under: uncultured bacterium
Lineage: Bacteria
Description: partial 16S ribosomal RNA
Rfam family: Bacterial small subunit ribosomal RNA
Source: RNAcentral